CUCGAAUCAGGUAGGAAUACCCGCUGAACUUAAGCAUAUC
Molecule: ribosomal RNA, 40 nt
Filed under: Metarhizium flavoviride
Lineage: Eukaryota; Fungi; Ascomycota; Sordariomycetes; Hypocreales; Clavicipitaceae
Description: partial 28S ribosomal RNA
Source: RNAcentral